CAAACAUCAGCAACCGCUGGUUUUGGGCCAGCCUUGGUGUAACCCCAGGUCGGCCUUAAAGUAAAUGAGCUCUGCCGGCCAUCACUCCAUGCCAAAACAUAGUAUGCAAUGCUUGUUAACGGUUGGGUGUUUGGUUCGGCCUGAACAAAAUUGAACCUAAG
Molecule: unclassified non-coding RNA, 161 nt
Filed under: uncultured Ascomycota
Lineage: Eukaryota; Fungi; Ascomycota
Description: sequence contains ITS2
Source: RNAcentral